RNAcentral lists this long non-coding RNA (867 nucleotides) under Salmo salar (Atlantic salmon). RNAcentral describes it as "lncRNA (ENSSSAG00000112514.1)". Lineage: Eukaryota; Metazoa; Chordata; Actinopteri; Salmoniformes; Salmonidae. The record is from RNAcentral.
GUGCUCUCCAUGAUUGACUUUUGUGGGGUUGCCGUUGGUGAAGUGGAUGACUGUGAAAGAAUCAUACUCGGACGUUGUGGAUACAGAAAAGCAAAGACACGGGGACGGCGUCAUCGUGGCUGAAAUGAAGUGGCAUGGUGCAUGGGGAGGACUGAGUAUUGGGAUUUCACAUAAAAAUCCAUAUUGACCGUGGCAGAAACUUUAACUCAGCAUUGUUGUUUUCCCCCCUUUUAUUUAAACUUUCCCUGGGGAAAAAAUUAUAUUACUUAGAAUUAGUUGCCCAUGCCAGCAAAGUCGGUGGUGAGCUCACCAUUAAGAGGGACACAAAUGUUGCAGUUUGUCCCUCCCAGCGUGGGAUGGGUAAGUCCUCCCAGUGAGUGACACUUACCCUAAAGUGCAUAGUGUCAACGGCUAACUUUCAGCAGGACAGAUAAAACACAACGGCCUGGUUUUUAUCAUCCCUUCAGGGCUCAGGGACCAGAGAUACUAACCAUUACAAGGACAGCACUGAGACUGGCCAACAGUCCUUUGCUGCACAGGAGAGUAGCUCUCCGAUUAGCUGUAGCGAAAUCUCAAAGAUCACCGGUCAACUCAGAGAGGAACCCCUUUGAGACAUAUGCAGCUCCAGUGGGACUGGGGACAGGCAGUCGGCCAGCUUCGAGGGUAAACAUAUAAUCAUCCCUCGGACGGCUAUAAUUAUAUCCGGGACGUGAAGGAACAGAAGGGAGUGCAAGGGGAGGAAGCCAUGCAGGCAGGCAGUGUGCAAGAGGAAACAGCAGAGGGAGCACCCCCCCAAUCCACAUCGACGGGACAGCAGUGGAGUAGGUGGAAAGUUUUAAGUUCCUCGGAGUACACAUCACGGACAAA